AUGGUGCAGAUGUACAAGUUCCUCAAGAAGCACGCUACCAUCCCUUUCAACUCUGCUGCUGCCGCGGCCGGCUGUGCUUCUGCCUCGGCUACAAACUGCCUAGGUGAGCUUUAUCCCUCUGGCGCCUCUGGUGGCGUUGGAAUUGUGAUUGUGGUGUUGGGUGUGUUUGGUUUUGAGCCAAAGCUGGCCUUACCAAAAUAUUGGUGCGCCCAUGAGUUUUUUCUGUUGUUUGGUUGGACACCAAAUAUUUGGCUUGCCCAACCCAGCCGGCAUUUGCCCAUGCAAUUCUGGCCAAUACGCGGGCGAGCCGAGGGCGACGAAUUCGUCCACUAA
Molecule: ribosomal RNA, 333 nt
Filed under: Triticum aestivum (bread wheat)
Lineage: Eukaryota; Viridiplantae; Streptophyta; Magnoliopsida; Poales; Poaceae
Description: partial small subunit ribosomal RNA
Source: RNAcentral